This 1584-nucleotide unclassified non-coding RNA is filed under the name Hevea brasiliensis (rubber tree). Lineage: Eukaryota; Viridiplantae; Streptophyta; Magnoliopsida; Malpighiales; Euphorbiaceae. The record is from RNAcentral.
GAAGCUUGGGAUGUGACAACAAGGACUGUUGCAUAUACCAAUCACACAGUUCUUCCUGAAGCGCUAGAGAAAUGGUCACAGGUUAUAAUGACGAAACUUCUUCCCCGUCAUAUGGAGAUCAUAGAAGAGAUUGACAAGCGGUUUGUGGCAAUGAUCCAUUCCACCAGGCCUGAUAUGGAGAGCAAACUCUCUGCUAUGCGAGUUCUAGAUGGUUCUAAUCCCCAGAAGCCUGUAGUACGCAUGGCUAAUUUGUGUGUUGUGUCAUCACAUACGGUAAAUGGAGUAGCCCAGUUACAUAGUGAUAUCUUAAAAUCAGAGUUAUUUGAAGACUAUGUGUCUCUUUGGCCGACCAAGUUUCAGAACAAAACCAAUGGCAUUACACCUCGUCGAUGGCUUCAUUUUUGCAGUCCGGAAUUGAGUGGCAUAAUCACCAAAUGGCUGAAAACAGAUGGAUGGAUCACUAACCUUGAUCUCCUUUCUGGACUUCGUCAAUUUGCUGACAAUGAGGAGUUGCAUGUUGAGUGGGCUUCAGCCAAAAUGGCAAACAAACUUCGGCUGGCAGAGUAUAUUUUGAGCAUAACAGGUGUAACAAUCGACCCAAAUAGCCUCUUUGACAUACAAGUUAAGCGCAUCCAUGAAUAUAAGAGGCAGCUGCUGAACAUUCUUGGUGCUGUAUAUAGAUACAAGAAACUGAAGGAAAUGAGCAUGGAGGAGAGAAAAAAAGUGACACCACGGACUAUCAUGCUUGGAGGAAAAGCUUUUUCGACAUAUACCAAUGCUAAAAAAAUAGUUAAACUGGUGAAUGAUGUUGGUGCUGUGGUCAACAAUGAUUCUGAAAUCAACAGCUAUCUCAAGGUUGUCUUUGUACCAAACUACAAUGUAUCUGUAGCUGAAAAACUCAUUCCCGGAAGUGAACUCUCUCAGCACAUUAGCACAGCAGGCAUGGAGGCUAGUGGGACCAGCAACAUGAAAUUUUCACUAAAUGGUUGUCUGAUAAUUGGAACUUUGGAUGGCGCGAAUGUAGAAAUCAAAGAAGAGAUUGGGGAGGAGAAUUUUUUCCUUUUCGGUGCCAAAGCAGAUGAAGUCCCGAGAUUGCGCAAGGAGAGAGAAGAUGGACUGUUCCAGACGGAUUCCCGGUUUGAGGAAGCCAAGCAGUUUAUAAGGAGUGGUGCAUUUGGUAGCUAUGAUUACAACCCUCUCCUAGACUCUUUGGAAGGAAAUUCCGGAUAUGGACGUGGGGAUUAUUUUCUGGUUGGCUAUGACUUCCCAAGCUAUAUUGAUAUGCAAGCCAAGGUGGACGAAGCAUACAAGGAUCGUAAAAGAUGGCUGAAGAUGUCUAUUUUGAGCACUGCAGGCUGCGGUAAAUUCAGCAGCGAUCGCACGAUUUCGCAAUAUGCGAAAGAGAUAUGGAAAAUUGAAGCAUGCCCUGUUCCAUAAGCUGUUGAAAUACUCAACAGAGUUAUAGAUAAAUAAGAUCGCCAUCUGCCUUAUGACUAUGUACAGGCAGAAUUUGGUGGCACUCAUAAAUGUUUAGUGUUGCGAGUUGCUUGUAUGUAAAUAAGGAGAAUGUGAUUCCCAGUCCUA